AAGCGGUGGAGCAUGUGGCUUAAUUCGAGGCUACGCGAAAAACCUUAUCCUGGGCUUGACAUGCAGGGAUUAGCCGGCGGAAACGUCGGUGACGCCGCAAGGUGGAACCUGUGCAGGUGCUGCAUGGCUGUCGUCAGCUCGUGCCGUGAGGUGUUGGGUUAAGUCCCGUAACGAGCGAAACCCCUGCGACCAGUUGCCAGCGCGUCAUGGCGGGGACUCUGGUCGGACCGCCGGCGUCAAGCCGGAGGAAGGCGGGGACG
This 260-nucleotide ribosomal RNA is filed under the name uncultured Planctomycetota bacterium. RNAcentral's name for it is "uncultured planctomycete partial 16S ribosomal RNA". It matches the Rfam family "Bacterial small subunit ribosomal RNA", at positions 927 to 1181 of the family's 1533-position model. The record is from RNAcentral. Lineage: Bacteria; Pseudomonadati; Planctomycetota.